AUAAAUUAAUAAAAUUUUAUAUUUAAAAAAAAACUAAUUUUUAUAAAUAUUUAAAAAUUAUUUUUAAAUAUUUAUAAUAUUAUAUAUAUAUAUAUAUAUAUUUGUAUUAUUAAAAAUUAUUAUUUUAAUAUAUAACAUUAAAAAUUAAUGAAAUUUAAAUUUAAUAAUAAUAAAAUUAUUAAUAAAAAUUGUGCCAGCAAUUGCGGUUAAACAUUUAAUAAAAUAAAUAUUUUUAUAAGUAAUUAUUUUAUAUUUUAAUUAUGAAAUUUAUAUAUAAUUAAGUAAAAUUUUUAUUGUAAUUAAGUAAAUAUUUAAAUAAUUUAAUAAAAAUUAUAAUAAACUAGGAUUAGAUACCCUAUUAUAAAUUUAAUUAAAAAAUUAUAAAAGAUUAAUAAAUAUAAAAUUAAUAAUAAUGGCUGUAUUUUAAUUUGUAUAGAGGAAUUUGUAGUUUAAUUUGAUAAUCCACGAUUAAUUUUACUUUAUUUAUUUAAUUUAUAUAUCGUUGUUAUAAAAAAUUAAUUUAAUUUAAAAUUUUAAGUUAUUUAAUAGAAUUUUAUUUCAAAUCAUGAUGUAAUUUAUAAUAAAGAAUUAUAUGAAUUAUAAUAAUUUAUUUAUGAGAAUAUAAUUUAAUUUUAUAUUUAAAUAAGAUUUAUAAGUAAUUAAAAAAAUAUUUUUUUAAUGAUUUAAUUUUAAGAUAAGUACAUAUUGCCCGUCACUUUCAUUUAUGAAAUAAGUCGUAACAAAGUAAAAAUAUUGGAAAAUAUUUUUAGAA
This 772-nucleotide ribosomal RNA is filed under the name Setodes iuppiter. RNAcentral's name for it is "12S ribosomal RNA". The record is from RNAcentral. Lineage: Eukaryota; Metazoa; Arthropoda; Insecta; Trichoptera; Leptoceridae.